GAUGAACGCUGGCGGCGUGCCUUAGACAUGCGAGUCGAACGGUACUGCAUUGCAGAACUGUGGCGGACGGGUGAGGAACGCGUGAGAACGUAGCGAGUGGUGUAGUAUAGCCUUCCGGAAGGAUUGAGAAUGCUGCAUAUACUCGCGGGUGAGAGGGGCUUAACCGCUCGCCGAGAGGGCGGCCCGCGUCGUAUGAGGUUGUUCGUGAGGUAAUUGCGUACGAAGACUAUGACGGGUAGCUGGGCUGAGCUGUCGGACAGCCACACUGGAACUGAGACACGGUCCAGACAUCUACGGAUAGCAGCAACCGUGAAUCUUGGACAAUGGGAGAAACGCUGAGCCAGCGACGCCGCGUGGCGGAAGAAGGUCUUCGUAUUGUAAACACCUUGUGGCCGGCGUAAUGCGGGCAGAAUAAGCACCUGCCAACUACGUG
Molecule: ribosomal RNA, 433 nt
Filed under: uncultured bacterium
Lineage: Bacteria
Description: partial 16S ribosomal RNA
Rfam family: Bacterial small subunit ribosomal RNA
Source: RNAcentral